Molecule: non-coding RNA, 27 nt
Filed under: Rattus norvegicus (Norway rat)
Lineage: Eukaryota; Metazoa; Chordata; Mammalia; Rodentia; Muridae
Source: RNAcentral
UAACAGCUUGUGAAACUAGAAUCCUUC